Molecule: RNA transcript, 10808 nt
Organism: Chelonia mydas (Green sea turtle)
Lineage: Eukaryota; Metazoa; Chordata; Testudines; Cheloniidae
Gene: BRAF
Gene name: B-Raf proto-oncogene, serine/threonine kinase
Exons: 19
Source: RefSeq, a predicted model, not a curated record
AGGUGACGUCACGGGCCGCGUGUGACGUAUAGUGGCGCGGGCCGCUGGAGCUCUCCGGGUUGUGUGGUCUUCCCCCCCUCCCACUACGGGUCGCGGCUGGGGGCGGCCCGGCAGCGGGGACGCGGCUUCCCCCUCCCACCCCUCCCCUUCCUCCAGCGCUUCGACCCAAGAUGGCGGCGCUGAGCAGCGGCAGUAGCUCCGAGGGGGCCUCGCUCUUCAACGGGGAUAUGGAGCCUGAGCCGCCGCCCGGAGCUGGGGCCUCGUUCCCGGGGGGCAGCGGCGGCGGCGAGCCGGCCAUCCCAGAAGAGGUAUGGAAUAUCAAACAGAUGAUUAAAUUAACACAAGAACACAUAGAGGCGCUGCUGGACAAGUUUGGAGGAGAGCAUAACCCACCAUCAAUAUACUUGGAGGCCUAUGAAGAGUACACCAGCAAGUUAGAUGCUCUUCAACAAAGAGAACAGCAGUUAUUGGAAUCCAUGGGGAAUGGAACUGAUUUCUCUGUCUCCAGCUCUGCUUCAACAGACACAGUUACAUCAUCUUCCUCCUCUAGCCUCUCUGUAGCACCUUCAUCUCUUUCGGUUUAUCAGAACCCCACAGAUAUGUCACGGAAUAACCCCAAGUCUCCACAAAAACCUAUUGUUAGAGUCUUCCUACCCAACAAACAGAGGACAGUGGUUCCAGCAAGAUGUGGGGUGACAGUCCGGGACAGUCUAAAGAAAGCUCUGAUGAUGAGGGGUCUUAUCCCAGAAUGCUGUGCUGUUUACAGAAUACAAGAUGGAGAGAAGAAGCCCAUUGGCUGGGACACUGACAUUUCCUGGCUUACAGGAGAGGAGUUGCACGUGGAAGUCUUGGAGAAUGUGCCGCUUACCACACACAAUUUUGUACGAAAGACGUUCUUCACUUUAGCAUUCUGUGACUUUUGUCGAAAGCUGCUUUUCCAGGGAUUCCGAUGCCAGACUUGCGGUUAUAAAUUUCACCAGCGCUGUAGUACAGAGGUGCCACUGAUGUGUGUUAAUUAUGACCAGCUUGAUUUGCUGUUUGUCUCCAAGUUCUUUGAACACCACCCAAUAUCGCAGGAGGAGGCCUCCUUAGGAGAGACCACCCAAGCAUCUGGAUCGUACUCUUCAGUGCCCCCCUCAGAUUCUAUUGGACCACCAAUUCUCCCUAGUCCUUCUCCUUCAAAAUCCAUUCCAAUCCCACAGCCCUUCCGACCAGCAGAUGAAGACCAUCGGAAUCAAUUUGGGCAACGAGACCGCUCGUCUUCAGCACCCAAUGUGCACAUCAAUACAAUAGAGCCUGUCAAUAUUGAUGACUUGAUUAGAGACCAGGGGUUACGAGGAGAGGGAGGUUCAACCACCGGUUUGUCUGCCACCCCACCUGCCUCUUUGCCUGGGUCCCUUACCAGUGUGAAAGCUUUACAGAAGUCCCCUGGACCACAACGAGAGAGGAAGUCAUCCUCAUCCUCAGAAGACAGGAAUAGAAUGAAAACCCUUGGUCGACGGGACUCAAGUGAUGAUUGGGAGAUACCAGAUGGGCAGAUUACAGUCGGACAGAGGAUAGGAUCUGGAUCAUUUGGAACAGUCUACAAGGGAAAGUGGCAUGGUGACGUGGCCGUGAAAAUGUUGAAUGUUACAGCACCCACGCCUCAGCAAUUACAGGCCUUCAAAAAUGAAGUAGGAGUGCUCAGGAAAACACGACAUGUGAAUAUCCUACUUUUCAUGGGUUAUUCAACGAAGCCACAGUUGGCUAUUGUUACACAGUGGUGUGAGGGCUCCAGUUUGUAUCACCAUUUGCAUAUCAUUGAGACCAAAUUUGAGAUGAUCAAACUCAUUGAUAUUGCACGGCAGACCGCACAAGGCAUGGAUUACUUGCACGCCAAGUCAAUCAUCCACAGAGACCUCAAGAGUAAUAAUAUAUUUCUUCAUGAAGACCUUACUGUAAAAAUAGGUGAUUUUGGUCUAGCCACAGUGAAAUCACGAUGGAGUGGGUCCCAUCAGUUUGAACAAUUGUCUGGGUCCAUUCUAUGGAUGGCACCAGAAGUAAUCAGGAUGCAAGAUAAAAACCCUUAUAGCUUUCAAUCAGAUGUAUAUGCAUUUGGGAUUGUUCUUUAUGAGCUGAUGACUGGGCAGUUACCAUACUCGAACAUCAAUAACAGGGACCAGAUCAUUUUUAUGGUGGGACGAGGAUACCUGUCUCCAGAUCUCAGUAAAGUGCGAAGUAACUGUCCAAAAGCCAUGAAGAGGCUAAUGGCAGAGUGCUUGAAGAAGAAAAGAGAUGAGCGACCCCUCUUUCCACAGAUUCUUGCCUCCAUUGAGCUUCUGGCUCGGUCAUUGCCAAAAAUUCACCGCAGUGCAUCUGAGCCCUCAUUAAACCGGGCUGGCUUCCAGACGGAGGAUUUUAGUCUGUAUACUUGUGCUUCUCCAAAAACACCCAUCCAGGCAGGGGGAUACGGUGGGUUUCCAGUACACUGAAAAGGCGUUGAAAGCAUGUGCCUGUGUGAGUGCUGUUCUGUUCCCGUGUGUGCAUGCACAAGUGUGCGUAUGUUCUGAAUUCCUACAUGCUGUUCUCUUUAAAGGUGCACUGAGGGAGUAAACACUUACAUGUUAGGAGUGUGGGCUUUGUAUGUUGCUGGCAUGGAGACUGUUGCUAGAUAUGGAUGCCCUGGGAAUUGCCAGCACAAAAGGAUUAAAAGGUCAUCUAAGGGAAAAGUCACUUCAGACAAAACAAAAAAACCUGUUUUGGUUUCUGGGUCAUACCUUGCAUUUCCUUUGCUUUCUAUGCCUUCUUUCCUUACUUUGAUGGUUGGGUUAGUUGCUCUGUGGGUGGUGUCUUUAUGUUUAAAUAAUCAAACUAUAUAUUUUUUUCAAUUGAAUUGUCCGUAUCCAUGAGCAACAGGUUUUAGCUUCUCAGAUAAGUUGUGUUGCUGGUGAUAUGUGAAGAUGGCAAAAAGACCUUAGCUGCAAGGCUGAGCACAGCCAAAACUGGGUGUAGUCAGCAAAGGAGAAUUUGCAGCGUUCAAGUAGCCACAGCGCCAUGGCAGCACCCACUCUAUUAUUUAAGUCUUGUGUUCCUACAGUUUCUUAACAUCAAAACUCUGUUCUGCACCUCAAAACCUAAAGCAAUUUAGGAAAAGAUAUCUGUAAGCUUAGAGCAGAGCAGAAGGGAACUGCUGGUCCAACACAAGGGGGGGAAAUAAUCUUUUUAGGAACCAGAAUUCUCUGCUGCCAGUGUUUCUCCUUCAACACAAAACACCACGUGUAUUCAGAGACCGCAGUGGCUGCCUGUACCGUUGUCAUCAUUCCCAGGAGAGAGGAGAGGGCACGCGUGUUUUGACUUUGGUGCUCAGGCAUAAGGGGAUGGAACUGCUGCAGCAGCUUAGGAGACUUGCUUUGGAUGUCUGCCAGUUGGCUUUCUCCCUCUAACAACGAAUCAUCAGAGGCUGAACGUCUGAUGAGAGUGCUAAUCAAAAGAAUCAUCUUCUGUUCUGAUUUAUUUUUUUCCUGGCAUGCUUACUGAUUUAUGGGUCAAAAUGCAGUAUCCCCUUUUCAUUUAAAUGCAGAUAUCAAACAUUUCAAUCAGUCUACAUCAUUGACUUUUAUCCUAGUUAAAUUUGAUACUUUGAGGGGUGGGAGGUGGCUUGGAGAGAAGUUAAUCUGGAGGAAAAGGGGAUGCUGCACCAUAUUCAAAUUUACUUUUCACUUAUCCAAAAAACCUACCCUUUUCUUGUUUCUAAUACUUUCUGGUGUGCUCAGACAGGGCAUCUUUCAGAAGGGUUGGGAAGCUCCUCUCGUUGGUCCAGCAACAAACUAAAGUUAACCAAAAAAAAAUAUAUAUAUGUAGCAAGUUCUCAAAAUAUUUUUUUGUAUCAUCUAAUUCAGUGUAUUUUUCAGAAAUGUGAUAAUGGCAUCCGAAGUCUGUAAAACUGCUAAUACAGACUAUGGAAUGGUGUAUGUACCUAUUUUAAAAGUUUUAUUUUAAAUGAGGGUGCAGGUUAAUGCCAGGUACCUUACCAAUAUAUAAGGUUUUCAUAAACAGGAAAAAAUAGUUCUCAGGUUGAACUGAAAAAAAAAAAAUAUAAAAAAUCCCCCCCUCCUACCCCCAAAUUAGACAUUCUGCAAAUUGUGUUUUGGUACUUAGAGAGCUUUUUUAAAAGGAUUUUUAUCCUGUUAACUCAGUGUUCUCUGAUAAGUGUGUGUGUAAAUGUGGAGCAUCUUGUCCCAGUGGCAAGGUGUUAGAUUAAAAAAACAAACUACUACUACAAAAAACGGUACUUGCUGGAUCCACGCUGACCUUUUCUCCUCUUGUUGGUUCCCUCUGUUUGACUCUCUUGUUUCCAUCCCUCCAUUUUUCCCUUUUCCACAGUUUGCAAACUAGGAUAAAGGUGGCAGUAUCCAAUUAGUUUCCCUUGUUUCCCUGUCCUCCAAGCCCAGUUCUCAAAUGGUUGGUAGCUUUUUGACAAGUUACCAAGUCAGAAGACAAAUUCAUAAAGUUCAGCACAUUGUUUACCUCUAGUAGAAUAUCUUGUGAUGUGAUCUGUUUGCAGAAUUCUCCGAUGUGUGGUAUGAAACUUAAAUUAUUUGUACAGAGGCAAGUCAGACCAUAGUAGAAAGAAAUUCAAGCUCACAUGGAAGUCUUCAGAGUUUGGUUAAUAUCUGCCCUAUACCAUUCUACAUGAGGCAGGAGAAUUGACGCCUCUAAUUGGCAGCGCUUUUCUUAGGUGAAUGAAAUCAUGAGACACAUGUAAAGGAGUUAAAUUUGUACAAAUGCACAUGGCGUUGGCUGAACACAUGGCUUUUGCCUCACUAGGUGAGUGGGGACCUUUCCUGUGUACAGAAGGGUGCCCCUGGAGAUAUAGGUAGCCUGUUAACGUUUGUCAAUUAAUAUUUGCUGGGGUUAAGGGGUCCUGAUUAAUUUGAAGUGAGAAAUAUAAUUGAAAUACUGUGUAUUCAUGUUAAUUCCACAAACAUUAGCCAGACAUCAACAAAGAGUGAUGUGAAGUUACUACAAGGAUGAAGCAAUUCAUGUUGCUACAUGAAUAGAAUUGAUUAUGUGUACAGGGUGCAUUUUAACAAACAAACAAGCACAACUUUUUUCUUCUCUGCUGUGGGUCUUCAGAUGCUAUUAGGUUUUUUCCUUCCCGAGAUGGGCAGGAAUUAAAAUAAUCAGUAGCAGUGUCUACUUUCCAGUGUGGAGAAGCAAGCAAAGUGAGCAGUAGUGCACAGUCAGGUGAAAUCACCAUGUGCCAUGUUAGUGUAAUGGCAGUAUACAGUGCUAUCUGAGGCAGUUGACAGACCAAGGUGGAGAAAGCUAGGAACCAAGUUGUCAGCAACAGUUGAGAAUUUUUACCAACAUUAACUCCAAGAGAGUGAAGUCAUUACUGUAUCAGUUUUCCCCUCAGCCAUUUUUUUUUUUUUGGCUUGUGAUAUAGCUUGUAAAUGUAGGGCACACUGAAAAUUACAUAUGCUCCUAAAGAAAGGUAUAGUCUAAGUAUGUGUUGUUGGGUUAAGAAUUAUCAUUUCAACGUACUGGAUAAAAAUCCUAGUUUCCUUCUAUAUUUUCAUGCUGGCAGAGAAGUAUUUGUUAAAAUAUAACAGUAAGGAAUUAUUUUUAUCCUCUUUUUAAAUGAAUUUAUUUUGUAAUGCUUCAUUACCUAUUAGUCUACAAUAUGCUUCUUGAGCCCACAGGAAAAGCACAAGGAAAAUUGCUAUCCUUGUCCAUGCAAAGCACUUUAUAAGUAACACAUGGUCUUUGAUUUCCCCUGCCCUCCAAAAAACAUGUAUGUUGUUUGACUGUUUAGUUAAGUCUUUCAGGUUUCAUUUCUAUUACCUUCCAAGUUUUUUCUCUUAAAGUAGCUGUAAUGCUUUGUUUGUGUCCAGCUUUGUAUCUGUACAAAGACCACCUUAAUCCUCAUGCAAAACUUUGGGAAAAUUUGAUUUGUAAAUAAUUGUUUUUCUUCAUUUCUUUUCCUUCAGAAAUUACUAAGGACGUUUUGCAUGAAAAUAGGAUCAGUUUUAAAGGUGCCUUGCAGGUGUUUGGUAAACAGUGAGACAGUAGCAGGGACAUGUAUUGAAAGCCCCAGAUAAUAAUGGGGUGAAGAAAACAAUUAACUCUUUUAAAAAAUAAUAAAUACAUUCAGGCUUUCUGUUCACACAAUACAGCUUCAGCUCAUCUGUGAUUCCCCAGCUCAGUGCACUAGGACAUAAACCCACAUGCUGGGUUUGGAAAUUUUAUUAAAUAUUUUUAUGCCUGUUGAGAUACAAAAUUAUCUAGGCACUUAUACUGCUUUAAGCUCCAACAUAUCUGAGCAGCUAAUAAACCUUUUCAAAACCACCACUUGAGCACCUGUAGUCCAACUCCAUGCUCUUAUCAUCUAGUCCCAUCUCCCUGUCAAUGCAGGAUUCUUCCCUACAGUAUAUUGUCUGGGGCAUCGUGGUGGCAUUGAAGUCAAAUGGAGUGAAUGUAGGGGCCUAAUUACUUCUAAAGCAUCAGCAUCAGUUAAAUGCCGAAUGUCCCUAUAUUCGACAGAGUCCUGCUAUUCUCAUUUUUCACAAAACAUUUGCAUGUCACUGAGUUAAUCUGUUCCUGCUUGCUUUAUUCCUUACCUGAAAUCAUCCUUUCUCAUAAUUGAGUUCUUUGGCAAUUACUGAUAAUACAGAUUAUUUUGGGUCAAAUUCUGCCAUCAUAUUUUAGUGGCUUCUACUUAAGUCAGUUGGAGCUAUAUGUGCUCUUUAGAGGACAACAUUUGGCCUACUAUGACAUGAAGUGAAUAAACAGAAGUGUGAACUGUUAACAAAGAUCACAUCUUUAUGCAAAUGUCCAGUGGUAAAAACAUACUGAAGAAUUGCCUCUAUAGUUGUAUUGUGUUGUCGAUGUACACGGUGCUUUCCUGAACACUCUGAAGACAAGGUCCAUGCCCCAAAGACACAAUGAUCUAAUAUCAGUUGAGGCAUCAGUAGUUCUUGAAGGUAUCUGUGUAGUGGAGGGCCGAAUUAAGAGCUGAAGCGUGCAAACAUUUCACACCUUUCCAGCCGGCAGGUUUUUAUGGAAUAUACUCCCUUCUUGACUGUGAGUGCAGCAUGUGUAGCACAAACUAUUCAGAGUACUGUAGACAAGUAUCUUUCCGUCCAUUGAAACAGUGUCACGAGGACGUAAUAUGAUAGUCUAACCUUUUAGGUACCUUCGAGAUUCAGAUGAAAGCCAGUUGCAUAAAUGGACUGUCAUGGCAUCACUUUGAAGAUACUGGGUGUUUUGUGUCUCAGUGGUUUGGUUUUUAUUUUCUUUAUAGAGACUAGUUUAUCACACACUUUCUUUAUAGAUACAAGUUUAUCUCACAUACACACGUUUUCUUUAUAGAUACAAGUUUAUCUCACACACACUCACACUCACACACCUCUUUCUUGGCUGCUUUAUUAUUUCUUAUCUGGUAAAUCAAUGCAUCAAAAACAGGUGUUGCGACAGUUGGAGUAAAAACUUCUUGUUUGUCUUUAGGUUUUAAAGAUGCUAAUAUAGAAGCUAGUCAGCACCAUGAGAGCAGUGAAUAGUAAUAGUCAUCAGUGUGUGUGUGGGAUGAAGGGGCGGUUUUUAAAAAAUAGCAGGAUGGGGAUGCUGAUGUGAACAAACUGAGGAAGUGAAAGCUAGUAAUAUUUAUAUAGAAAAGAUAUCCAGAAACUCUCUUAAAUGGUAUACAUGAGGCUUCCCAAAAGUUACCUUUGCAAUUUGCCAAAUGAUCUUGUGCCUUCAUGACUUAAAACAACUAUACAUAUAUAUUAGGUGCUUUGUAACUAGAGCAGUGGCUUUGGUUUAAUUCCAAUGCAGUGUCUUCAUAUUUAGAUGCAAAUAUGGACCUUUCACAAAAGUCAGCAGUUUUUGAGUUUGUAAAUGUAAGCAAAAGAUAUAUGGAGGAGAUGGGGAGGGGAGAAUUUACAGAAAUAUCCGGUGUUUGUAUCCAAAAUAAAGUUUAUAUGAGACAUAUACAUGUCUGAGAAAAUCUGCAACUUGAAGCUACUCUACAGAAAAUAAAAUGAGUUGCAUUUUUUAAAAAAUUAAUAAGACUUUUUGACCCCUCCAAAAAUCUAGCAUCUUGUUUGGGAAAUGUAAUAUAAAGUUCUUAGGAGAGAGAAAGUCAGAAUAUCCAGAGCAGUGUAUGAAAAGUGAGCUCUAGAAUAGACGGUUGACUGUCAGUACCCAUAAGCCAUGUACAUCAUGGUAUACCGUUAAUUUCCUGGUCCGGGGUUACAUUGUUUAAUGGAGUAUCGGCAGGUUUCUUUAGAUCUUCCUCAGGCCUCAUAUUGAUACACUGCUAAACCUCUACAACCCCAGCCACUGUUUAAAUGAUCGUAUAUCCUGUAAUCACGUGUACCUUGGGAGAUGAUGAGUAUAUUAUCAGUUGAGGGGCAAAAUAUACGUUUGGAUUUGAUAUGUUCAUGUUUCAAACUUAUCUUCGCUCCUAGCAGUACUUUAAUACUAGUGUCAUAUUUCAUCUGUAUGUCCAUAAGGAAAAGAGAAUGGUCUUUGUUCUUAAUGUUUUUUCAAGUCCUUUCCCUGCCUUUGUUGUUGGUGGAAGACUUUGGACAUAAUUCUGUGUUAUGUAAAUCAGUGCAAUUAAAUGCACAAUUAUUACAGAAUAUUAGACUUCUAUUAACCCCUUUUUAGUUCCUUUUAUAAAUCAGGGUGUAAUGUUUUUUAAAUGUUUUACUUAAAUGCCCAGGAAAUAUCUGGAACUUUUCUUCCUCUUCCAACCCAUGCACUGAAAAUACUCUUUAAGAAAAGAGUAUCCUCCCUACUUCUAUGAAAAACACAACUAUUUCCCUAUUUUGUGAAGGGGAGAGGGCUUGUGGUAAUGUUGGGGAACUUUUAAACUGCCUAAGCAUUUGUUUUAGUGUGUCAUAGCAACAGUAUGUUCAACCCAUCCAGAUGCCCUAACAGCCUAUAUGUACUAUCCAGUCUUUCUGUCUGGCUUAUCAUACCUGCAGCAAUUGUAGUUUAGAAUAAGCCUGUAUGACAUUUACUUCUGAAUUAGUAAAACACAAAGCCAAAACUGUUGUCUGAGUUUUAAAUAAUAGUUUGUUUUGAUAGAUAUCAUUUCAUUUGGGUGCUCACCCCGCUUGAACUCAGUUUGUUUGUUUUGUGUGUUUGGGAGUUCAGUAAAACGUUAAGACAUGACAAGCAAUGAACCCUAUCUGUGUUGGGGAGACAGGGGUAAAAUGGACCAAACUGGGAUGGUGGGUAUUUUGGGGAUAGUGGGGGUUAUGAGGGUGGGCAUAAUUUAAAUAACUUUGUCUAAAAUAAAAUGUAAGUGCAAUAAAUGUGCUUUUUAUUCAAAGCUGUGAACUGUUUAAAAAAAGACAUGCACAUCAUUCCUUCCUGAGCCUUGUUUCUUCCUCCCUUCCCCCCCAAAUGACUGAAACCUGGCAGUGGCCAACCUGCAUGUGUUAUCUAGUAUCGUGAUUUAAUAUGUGCUUAUCUACAUCAUGCUAUUAAAAAAAAAAUCUGAAUCCCUCGUGGUAGGACUAACAAGGCAAAUCCUGCCCCUACUUCUGCACCGCUGGAGACUCCUUUGGAACUAGUGCUAGUCUGCUAUGCUUCACUUGAAAGGGCAGGCUGUGAACAGCCCUUGAGGCUGGAGCACCGGCAGGGGGCCCUGAGGAUCUGCUGUGUGGCUCCUCUUCACAGGGAUACAGAACCUACUCCAGCCAUUGGAGUAGCCUCUCUGAGUGGGAAGAUUCCUUCCUCUGCAUAUGACUGGCACUUGCUCUGGCUAUGGACCCCAGUGCUGGGUAGAGGUUUUUUUUUCCUAAGCAACUUCCUGCUUGGGUUCUCUAUAUUCCUUUUGUCAAAACAAGCAUGCAGGCUGGCCCCUGUUUUCUCCUAUUACUCCACCUUGUUUUGAAGGAAUAGUUAUACAUAUUUUUAAUCACUUGUGCGGUCGUUGCACAGUCUGUCCCUUCCUCGCUCAAGAUCAUGCCGCUCUCCCUAGGUUAGGAAAGGUGCGGUGAUCUUUUCUCCACAAAGGACUCAAUACCAAUGUUUCGUUAAAAAGUUCAUGAAAGCAUAGCACUCGGGAAAAGCAAGGGGGAUGGCUUUUUAAAAAAUAUUAUAAAGAUGUUGCCUCAUAAUACCUUGUUUAUGAGCAACAGAAUACUCUAGUAAGGAGAGGAAAGGGAAAUAUAUAGAUUUGAUUUUUUUUUUUAACUUAGUGCAAUGAAAUGUACAUCCCACAGUUUGAACUCUGUGCUAACAACAUUCCUUUAAGCUGUAUUUUUACCACCAGAAGUUUUGUGAGGGUCUGAGUCUUCACUGUAGAAGGUCCAAUCUGGUUACUUAAGAAAACAGUUGUGUUAGUAGAUUUCUAUAGCUGCUUUUAAAAACUACAGUGGAGUAAUUGUUUUAAAACUUGUAUUUAUUUUUUAAUUCAUAAGAAAAUAUUUUCAGUUUUCUGUUACACAGACCAUGGCAACUCCUUCUUUCCCUUCCCAAUGUCCACAGUAAUUGCUAAUAAAAAUUAUUUUUCUUGCUUGUUUCCUUCCCCUCUACUUUUGUUACCCCUUCCUGCUCAAGUCCCUUCAUUUGUACUUUGAAGUUUUUUCUCAUGUAAAUUUGUACAAUGGGAAAUAUUGUCCAGUUUGGUUAGAGAGCAUGGAGACUUAAAGAAAACAUUAAAAAUUUGAUAGCUGAAAUUGAUUGAAGAAAACUAUUUCUGUGUAAAGUUAUUUAAAGAACUCUGUAUUAUAUAAAAGGCAAAAAGUUCUAUGUACUUGAUGUGAAUAUGAGAUUACUGCUAUAAUAAAGAUUGACUGCAUGGAGAAACA